RNAcentral lists this ribosomal RNA (374 nucleotides) under Diploptera punctata (Pacific beetle cockroach). RNAcentral describes it as "partial 16S ribosomal RNA". Lineage: Eukaryota; Metazoa; Arthropoda; Insecta; Blattodea; Blaberidae. The record is from RNAcentral.
CGCUUCAUGAUGUAGUGUGCAGUAUUGCCUGCUCUAUGAUUUAAUUAAAUGGCCGCGGUAUAUUGACCGUGCAAAGGUAGCAUAAUCAUUAGUCUUUUAAUUGAAGGCUGGCAUGAAAGGUGGGACGAAAUAAUUACUGUCUUAUUUUAAUGAAUUUGAAUUUAAUUAUUGAGUAAGAAAGCUUAAAUAAUUUUAUGGGACGAUAAGACCCUAUAGAGUUUAAUAAUUUUAUAAAUUAAAUUGGUUAGGCUAUUAUCUUAAUUUUAUAAGUUAUUUUGUUGGGGUGAUGGAGAGAUAUAAUUAACUCUUUUUUUAAAAAUACACAUAUUUGUGGUUGAUUGACCCAGGAAUUAUGAUUAAAAGACUAAAUUACC